This 191-nucleotide antisense RNA is filed under the name Enterobacter hormaechei. RNAcentral describes it as "Yersinia sRNA 251". It matches the Rfam family "Yersinia sRNA 251". Rfam says of the family: Antisense to phoH gene. The record is from RNAcentral. Lineage: Bacteria; Pseudomonadati; Pseudomonadota; Gammaproteobacteria; Enterobacterales; Enterobacteriaceae.
UACACUUCCAGCGUUCGUUGGCACAGCGCUGAGCGGACGCAGUCCUCUUUUGUGAAGCGGACCACCCCUAUCAUCUCAUCUUCAUCAAAACGUGACAUGGCAUCGCUCAGGCCGGACUUCACGCCCGACGGCAGGUCACACUGGGUAAUAUCGCCGUUGACGAUAACCGUCACGUUCUCCCCGAGGCGCGU